CUAUCACUUACAGAUGGACCCGCGGCGCAUUAGCUAGUUGGUGAGGUAACGGCUCACCAAGGCGACGAUGCGUAGCCGACUUGAGAGGGUGAUCGGCCACACUGGGACUGAGACACGGCCCAGACUCCUACGGGAGGCAGCAGUAGGGAAUCUUCCGCAAUGGACGAAAGUCUGACGGAGCAACGCCGCGUGAGUGAUGAAGGUUUUCGGAUCGUAAAACUCUGUUGUUAGGGAAGAACAAGUAUCGUUCGAAUAGGGCGGUACCUUGACGGUACCUAACCAGAAAGCCACGGCUAACUACGUGCCAGCAGCCGCGGUAAUACGUAGGUGGCAAGCGUUGUCCGGAAUUAUUGGGCGUAAAGCGCGCGCAGGCGGUUUCUUAAGUCUGAUGUGAAAUCUUGCGGCUCAACCGCAAGCGGCCAUUGGAAACUGGGAGACUUGAGUGCAGAAGAGGAGAGUGGAAUUCCACGUGUAGCGGUGAAAUGCGUAGAGAUGUGGAGGAACACCAGUGGCGAAGGCGACUCUCUGGUCUGUAACUGACGCUGAGGCGCGAAAGCGUGGGGAGCGAACAGGAUUAGAUACCCUGGUAGUCCACGCCGUAAACGAUGAGUGCUAAGUGUUAGAGGGUUUCCGCC
This 635-nucleotide ribosomal RNA is filed under the name Caryophanales bacterium. RNAcentral describes it as "bacterial SSU rRNA". It matches the Rfam family "Bacterial small subunit ribosomal RNA", at positions 212 to 837 of the family's 1533-position model. Lineage: Bacteria; Bacillati; Bacillota; Bacilli; Caryophanales. The record is from RNAcentral.